RNAcentral lists this ribosomal RNA (663 nucleotides) under Triticum aestivum (bread wheat). RNAcentral describes it as "partial small subunit ribosomal RNA". Lineage: Eukaryota; Viridiplantae; Streptophyta; Magnoliopsida; Poales; Poaceae. The record is from RNAcentral.
AUGGCCAUCACUCUCUGUUCCAUAUGGUAUGCUAGACGCAAAGCGGUCUAUGAAUCCAUCUUUCAAAGUCCCCAACAAACAAUUUCCUUUGUAAACAACUUUAUAGCAGAACUGGGGCAGCUUGCUAAUAGCCUGAAGAGACAAUGUACAACAGCAAUACCAUCUGCACAGCCUGAACGGUGGUUACCACCUCCUAAUGGCGCUGUGAAAGUAAACGUUGAUGGUGUUGUAGCAAGAUCCCGUCGUGGGGGAGCGGUAGCAGCUGUUUGCAGAGGCCAAUCUGGUUUGUAUCUAGGCUCCUCGGCGGUGGUCUUCCAAGGAAUAAAUGAUCCUCUAAUUUUGAAGACUUAUGCAUACCGUGAAGCGUUAGCACUUGCUGAUGAUCUCGCCGUCCAAACUAUUUGUGUGGCCUUGGACUGUCAAGGAGUGGUGAAUGACAUCAACAAGGGGACGGGAGGUCCAAAUGCUGCCAUAGUACAUGAAAUAGUGACUCGUUGUGGGAGUUUUUCUUCUUUUUCUUUUAUACAUGAGCGUAGGAACUUUAAUUAUGAGGCUCGUAAUCUCUUCAAGUUUGCUUAUAAUCUAGAUGUAGGUCGACAUGUUUGGUUGGGCGUACCACAUGACCCAAACAGUGUAUCUAUGACCGUUGUUUCGAAUGAAUAA